Molecule: non-coding RNA, 198 nt
Filed under: Pisciglobus halotolerans
Lineage: Bacteria; Bacillati; Bacillota; Bacilli; Lactobacillales; Carnobacteriaceae
Source: RNAcentral
GAGAACUGAUCAAGUAAAAGCUGGAAUGAUGGCGUAACGUCCUGAAACAGCUUCCCUGAUCCUCCGAUAUGCGAUUGAAAGGUAAAAUUCAAACGUAUAAAGCUCGGUAAAGUCAGCUGAGAGAAGCCGUAAAUAAAGAAUACUUCUUUAUACGAAAAAGAUCUAGGUCUCGCUUCCUAUAGGCUGGGGGUCUCAUAA